Molecule: ribosomal RNA, 253 nt
Filed under: uncultured bacterium
Lineage: Bacteria
Description: partial 16S ribosomal RNA
Rfam family: Bacterial small subunit ribosomal RNA
Source: RNAcentral
UACGUAGGAGGCAAGCGUUAUCCGGAAUGAUUGGGCGUAAAGCGUCCGCAGGCGGCACUUUAAGUCUGCUGUUAAAUACUAGGGCUUAACCCUGGAGCGGCAGUGGAAACUGAAGAGCUAGAGUUCGGUAGGGGUAGAGGGAAUUCCCAGUGUAGCGGUGAAAUGCGUAGAGAUUGGGAAGAACACCGGUGGCGAAAGCGCUCUGCUGGGCCGAAACUGACACUCAUGGACGAAAGCUAGGGGAGCGAAUGGG